This 389-nucleotide long non-coding RNA is filed under the name Olea europaea (common olive). Its description in RNAcentral is "long non-coding RNA (OEUR_LNC006945)". Lineage: Eukaryota; Viridiplantae; Streptophyta; Magnoliopsida; Lamiales; Oleaceae. The record is from RNAcentral.
GUAGGAGCCAGGAUACGCAAACAACACAGAACAUUCACACAGCUAAAGACCAAAAGUGCAGAUCUGAAGAAAAUAAAACGCAACAGAUUUUUCGGCCGAAGCCCCGAGGUUCAGCGAUCAACAAGACCGCCUAAUCCCCGUUGAGCAUCCAUGGAGGAAUAAGCUCGAAUCCACUAAAUCAGCCAGCCAAAACCAACAAAGUAUCGAUUACAACGGAACACACAGUUCCACAAAUUUCGCACAGCACAACACAACAGCUUCUCUACACAACAAGAACUCACACAAGAGUUCACAGAGCUAAGUUUUUCUCUACAAAGAUCACUCAAGAUCAAUAACCCAAGGAAUCACAAGAAAAAUACAGAGAGAAACUCAAACCGAGAAGAAGCUGC